UCGAGAAUUUUUCACAAUGGGCGAAAGCCUGAUGGAGCGACGCCGCGUGGGGGAUGAAUGGCUUCGGCCCGUAAACCCCUGUCAUUUGCGAACAAACCUUGUUCAUGAAUAAUGGGCAAGCUGAUUGUAGCGGAAGAGGAAGGGACGGCUAACUCUGUGCCAGCAGCCGCGGUAAUACAGAGGUCCCGAGCGUUGUUCGGAUUCACUGGGCGUAAAGGGUGCGUAGGUGGUGAGGAAAGUCGGAUGUGAAAUCUCCGGGCUUAACCCGGAAACUGCAUUGGAAACUACCUUGCUAGAGGUUUUGAGGGGGGACUGGAAUUCUCGGUGUAGCAGUGAAAUGCGUAGAUAUCGAGAGGAACACCAGUGGCGAAGGCGAGUCCCUGGAAAACACCUGACACUGAGGCACGAAAGCUAGGGGAGCAAACAG
Molecule: ribosomal RNA, 427 nt
Filed under: uncultured bacterium
Lineage: Bacteria
Description: bacterial SSU rRNA
Rfam family: Bacterial small subunit ribosomal RNA
Source: RNAcentral